AGUUAAGCUACUAAGAGCGUAUAACGAAUGCCUUGGCGAAAACUAGCGAAGAAGGGCGUGGUAAGCUGCGAUAAGUCUCGGGUAGGUGCAAAUAACCUUUUAUCCGGGAAUUCCCGAAUGGGGAAACCCAUCAUGAAGUUAAUUCAUGAUAUUUUCUAUUUUAAAUAGAAAAAGCGAACCAGGGGAAGUGAACCAUCUCAGUACCCUGAGGAAAAGAAAGAAAGUCUCGAUUCCCUAAGUAGCGGCNNNNNNNNNNNNNNNNNNNNNNNNNNNNNNNNNNNNNNNNNNNNNNNNNNNNNNNNNNNNNNNNNAACAUAGUCGUGUUCAAUAUCCGGGGUUGCAGGACCGGAAAAUGGGAAAGACUAUUUUCCCUGCAUGUUUACAAAUUUCUAGAUUAGUUGAAUGACAUGGAAAGGUCAACCAUAGAAGGUAACAGUCCUGUAAGCGAAAAUCUGGAAAUACAUGUUUUUGUUUCCUAAGUACCACGAAGGAAUCGAGAAGCUUCGUGGGAAGCCGGAAGGACCAUCUUCCAAGACUAAAUAUAUGUUUUCGACCGAUAGUGCACAAGUACCGCGAGGGAAAGGUGAAAAGAACCCCGGGAGGGGAGUGAAAUAGAACCUGAAAUUGUACGCCUACAAGCAGUCGGAGUCUGAUUUUUUUCGGAUGACGACGUGCCUAUUGAAGAAUGAGCCUGCGAGUUAUUGACAGUGGCAAGAUUAAUCCAUAUUAAUGGAGGAGUCGGAGCGAAAGCGAAUGGUACAAAUAGUGCCAUUAGUUAUUGUUAGUAGACCCGAAGCCCGGUGAUCUAUCCAUGGGCAGGAUGAACCCACCUUAAUCGGUGGGGGAGGUCCGAACCAGUGACAGUUGCAAAUGUCUUGGAUGACCUGUGGAUAGGAGUGAAAGGCUAAUCAAACCGGGUGAUAGCUGGUUCUCCCCGAAAUGACUUUAGGGUCAGCCUCGGUUAAUAGGAAUAUGGAGGUAGAGCACUGACUGGGCAAUUCCGAUUUAUGUCGGGAAAGCCCUAUCAAACUCCGAAUGCCAUAUUCUGUUUUCCGGGAGUGAGACUGUGAGGGCUAAGCUUCAUAGUCAAGAGGGACUCAGCCCAGACCAACAGCUAAGGCCCCUAAAUCCAUGUUAAGUGGCGAAAGAGGUGGAGUUACUUAAACAACCAGGAGGUUGGCUUAGAAGCAGCCAUCCUUUAAAGAUAGCGUAACAGCUCACUGGUCGAUGUGAUUCUGCGCUGAAAAUAUAACGGGGCUUAAACAUGGUGCCGAAGCUUUGGAUUUUUAACUGUAAAAGUUGAAAGUGGUAGGGGAGCAUUCUUCCGGAAGUGAAGCGAGUUUGUAAGAAUCCGUGGAUCUGGAAGAAGAGAGAAUGCCGGCAAGAGUAGCGAAAAUUCCAAUGAAAAUUUGGAACGCCGAAAGUCUAAGGUUUCCUGGGGAAGGUUCGUCCACCCAGGGUUAGGCGGGAGCUAAGCUGAGGCCGAAAGGCGUAGGUGAUGCACAGCAGGUUAAUAUUCCUGCCCCAUCUGAUAUGCGUUAUACCGAAGGGAUGACAAAGAAAGAUAUACUA
RNAcentral lists this ribosomal RNA (1572 nucleotides) under Candidatus Omnitrophota bacterium. Its description in RNAcentral is "partial 23S ribosomal RNA". It matches the Rfam family "Bacterial large subunit ribosomal RNA", at positions 1 to 1489 of the family's 2925-position model. Lineage: Bacteria; Pseudomonadati; Candidatus Omnitrophota. The record is from RNAcentral.